This 465-nucleotide ribosomal RNA is filed under the name Vreelandella stevensii. Its description in RNAcentral is "partial 16S ribosomal RNA". It matches the Rfam family "Bacterial small subunit ribosomal RNA", at positions 338 to 795 of the family's 1533-position model. Lineage: Bacteria; Pseudomonadati; Pseudomonadota; Gammaproteobacteria; Oceanospirillales; Halomonadaceae. The record is from RNAcentral.
CCUACGGGCGGCUGCAGUGGGGAAUAUUGGACAAUGGGGGGAACCCUGAUCCAGCCAUGCCGCGUGUGUGAAGAAGGCCCUCGGGUUGUAAAGCACUUUCAGUGAGGAAGAACGCCUGGUGGUUAAUACCCAUCAGGAAAGACAUCACUCACAGAAGAAGCACCGGCUAACUCCGUGCCAGCAGCCGCGGUAAUACGGAGGGUGCGAGCGUUAAUCGGAAUUACUGGGCGUAAAGCGCGCGUAGGUGGCUUGAUAAGCCGGUUGUGAAAGCCCCGGGCUCAACCUGGGAACGGCAUCCGGAACUGUCAAGCUAGAGUGCAGGAGAGGAAGGUAGAAUCCCCGGUGUAGCGGUGAAAUGCGUAGAGAUCGGGAGGAAUACCAGUGGCGAAGGCGGCUUUCUGGACUGAAACUGACACUGAGGUGCGAAAGCGUGGGUAGAAAACAGGAUUAGAUACCCCUGUAGUC